RNAcentral lists this ribosomal RNA (447 nucleotides) under uncultured bacterium. RNAcentral describes it as "partial 16S ribosomal RNA". It matches the Rfam family "Bacterial small subunit ribosomal RNA", at positions 29 to 523 of the family's 1533-position model. The record is from RNAcentral.
AACGAACGCUGGCGGCAGGCUUAACACAUGCAAGUCGAGCGCCCCGCAAGGGGAGCGGCAGACGGGUGAGUAACGCGUGGGAAUCUACCUAUCUCUACGGAACAACUCCGGGAAACUGGAGCUAAUACCGUAUACGUCCUUCGGGAGAAAGAUUUAUCGGAGAUGGAUGAGCCCGCGUUGGAUUAGCUAGUUGGUGGGGUAAUGGCCUACCAAGGCGACGAUCCAUAGCUGGUCUGAGAGGAUGAUCAGCCACACUGGGACUGAGACACGGCCCAGACUACUACGGGAGGCAGCAGUGGGGAAUAUUGGACAAUGGGCGAAAGCCUGAUCCAGCCAUGCCGCGUGAGUGAUGAAGGCCCUAGGGUUGUAAAGCUCUUUCGCAGGUGAAGAUAAUGACGGUAACCUGAGAAGAAGCCCCGGCUAACUUCGUGCCAGCCGCCGCCGUAA